This 586-nucleotide ribosomal RNA is filed under the name uncultured bacterium. RNAcentral describes it as "bacterial SSU rRNA". It matches the Rfam family "Bacterial small subunit ribosomal RNA", at positions 34 to 522 of the family's 1533-position model. The record is from RNAcentral.
CGCUGGCGGCGUGCCUAACACAUGCAAGUCGUACGAGAAAGUCCGCUUCGGUGGGCAAGUAAAGUGGGCGCACGGGUUGAGUAACGCGUGGGAUAAUCUACCCUUUAGUCUGGGAAUAACUUCGUCGAAAGGGUGAACUAAUACCGGAUAAUAUCCUGGGUUUUCUCCGGAAAUUCGGGAUUCAAAGAAGGGCCUCCGCUUCGCAAGCUUUUCGCUGAAGGAUGAGUCCGCGUACCAUUAGCUAGUUGGUAGGGUAAUGGGCCUACCAAGGGCAUGAUGGUUAGCUGGGUCUGAGAGGAUGAUUCAGCCACACUGGGAAACUGAAAACACGGGUCCCAGAACUUCCCUAACGGGGAGGGGCAGCAGUGGAGGGAAAUAUUCGCGCCAAUGGGGGGGGCAAACCCCUCGAACGCCAGCAAACCGCCCGCCGUGGGGUGGAAGGGAAAGGGUUUUUUCGGGAAUUGGUAAAGCUUCUGGUCGAGGCGGGAAAAGAAAAUAAUAUGGGUGGGCUAAUAUCCACCAUGGUUUUUGAACGGGUACCCGCUAGAGGAAAGCACCGGCUAACUCCGUGCCAGCAGCCGCGGUA